UAAUCCAUUUUAAAAGUGUUCAUAAUCACUACGUCUUUUUGUUAUUCAGUUUCAGUUGUAUAUUCAGUUUUUGUUUGUAUCUUAGUCAACGAGAUAUGGACCUUAAAACUAUAUUAUUAUUUUUUUCAUUGAUGCUUAAAGUCAUCCACUGCAAAAAGCUUUGCUAUGCCGUUACGUUCUUUCAUGUCAAAUGCGAGCCCAUAAACACUAAACACUAACUCAAACUCAAACUAGCUAACAUGUUCUGUAACUCGACAAUUUUUUCUGGCGUCAUGGCACUCUUAUAAGUAAUCAUAUUUGCCCUAUGGGAAACUACAAAUAAAACAUCAAUACAGCUGUUGGUUUUGUUUUCAGUUUGGUUUCGUAAAAGAUGUAAGUUUACACGUAAAAAUAAGAUUGUAUUUACCUUCUUAAUAUAAUGGGAAUCAAUUCGACUUGCUAAUCGAUUCGAAACAUUAUAAAAAUCUUAUUAAAAGCAUAAAUUGAUAUUUAGCUUUAUUUAGAAGAAUUUUUAUACCUCCUCAAUAAGACAUGGACCUUAGAACAAUUUUCUUAUUCUUGUCAUUGACGAUUAAUGUCAUAAACUGCAGCUUCAAUUGUUAUUUUUUCAAAUGCAAGCAAAACAAAGGCACUUCCCUAAACACCGCAUUUCCUUAUGGUUUGGGGUUUAUAUAGAGACACAAAUAAUAGAACAGAGAUGUUCUAGUCCAACUACUUUCGAAAAACCCCGAUUUGACAACGGAGAACAAUUCUGUACUCAACUUCUUAAAAGAAUAGAAAAAGGCAUCGAUAAUCCAUUAGAAACGUCUUAAAAAUAUAGUUAAAUGGCCAAGUUCACUUUUAUUUAAAUGCAGUUGAAGUUUUUCUCACUCCUUAAUAAGAUAUGGGCCUCAAAACAAUAGUUUUAUUGUUCUUAUUGAUGUUUAAAGUCAUAGACUGCGGUUUCAAUUGCUAUUCUCCUUUUCAUUUCAAAUGCAUUUCGCGAAAACGCCUCAAAAUACCUAAAAUACCUAAAAGACAAUGAAUCUUAAUACUCUUAAAGUUUGUGUUUUUUUUAGAGAGAUAUAAUAAAGACUAAACUUUAUCCAACCUAGUUUAAAAAUUAGCGAACCUCGCUUACUUACUUUAAUAGAAAGGCAAUUUCAAUAACUUUUAGGUCUGCAUCCCACUAUUUCUCAAUUGAUUUGCGAUGCAUGUCGUCCAAAAGAAUCUUUCGCCGACCCUUGCAAUUUCCGAUCCUCAUAUUUCAGUCCCUUGACUGUACCGAUGAGCCAAAUAAUACAAACCUAUAUUUUGAUGUGAAGAAGAACCUUUUAUGAGCAUAUUUAAAUUAGUCUUGUUUCAAAUCUCAGAAAAUUAACUAUGCAUCUUUCCGUUUUAUUUUUAUCGGCGGCUUUAUUUUUCUCCGUACUAAUACUCUGCAGUGCACUCUGUAGGCACCCAACUGAAGACGAUAUCUUUGGCGACUCUUGCCUGUCAAGAGUAAGUCUUUGUUCUGGACCAUGGAAUCUUAAAGGACUACACUUCAAGUCACCUGACUGUAAGAAGAACCAAAGGUGUUUCAUCAGACUUGUUAAAAAGGAAGUCGAUGAGGAUGCUUCGAAAACUGAUUACGAUUAUGAUUACGAGUAUGACAAUGCAUAGGGGUCAAAUUAGUUCCAUCAUAUGAAUAUUACUUAAGGGAGACUUAAAAAUAAUAUAUAUAAAUAAACUGCGACUUGUUAUAUUCAGUUUUCUUUUAGUUCCUGAAUAAAAAUGUCAUGGCCCUCAAACCAACCAUUUAUUUUAUCUUUUUUAUACGAUUCC
Drosophila ananassae is the source of this 1806-nucleotide long non-coding RNA. RefSeq lists it as uncharacterized. The record is from RefSeq and is a predicted model, not a curated record. The transcript is spliced from 6 exons. NCBI's taxonomy places the organism in Eukaryota, Metazoa, Arthropoda, Insecta, Diptera, Drosophilidae.